GAUGAACGCUGGCGGCGUGCCUAAUACAUGCAAGUCGAGCGAACAGACGAGGAGCUUGCUCCUCUGACGUUAGCGGCGGACGGGUGAGUAACACGUGGAUAACCUACCUAUAAGACUGGGAUAACUUCGUGAAACCGGAGCUAAUACCGGAUAAUAUAUUGAACCGCAUGGUUCAAUAGUGAAAGACGGUUUUGCUGUCACUUAUAGAUGGAUCCGCGCCGCAUUAGCUAGUUGGUAAGGUAACGGCUUACCAAGGCAACGAUGCGUAGCCGACCUGAGAGGGUGAUCGGCCACACUGGAACUGAGACACGGUCCAGACUCUUACGGGAGGCAGCAGUAGGGAAUCUUCCGCAAUGGGCGAAAGCCUGACGGAGCAACGCCGCGUGAGUGAUGAAGGUCUUCGGAUCGUAAAACUCUGUUAUUAGGGAAGAACAAAUGUGUAAGUAACUAUGCACGUCUUGACGGUACCUAAUCAGAAAGCCACGGCUAACUACGUG
Molecule: ribosomal RNA, 497 nt
Filed under: uncultured bacterium
Lineage: Bacteria
Description: partial 16S ribosomal RNA
Rfam family: Bacterial small subunit ribosomal RNA
Source: RNAcentral